GUUUGAACCUGGCUCAGGACGAACGCUGGCGGCGCGCCUAACACAUGCAAGUCGAACGGGAGAUUUCCUUCGGGAAAGAUCUAGUGGCGGACGGGUGAGUAACACGUGAGCAAUCUGCCUUUGGGAGGGGGAUAACGUCUGGAAACGGACGCUAAUACCGCAUAAUGUAUGGUUUUCGCAUGGGAAGCAUACCAAAGAUUUAUCGCCCAAAGAUGAGCUCGCGGCUGAUUAGCUAGUUGGCGGGGUAAAGGCCCACCAAGGCGACGAUCAGUAGCCGGACUGAGAGGUUGAACGGCCACAUUGGGACUGAGACACGGCCCAGACUCCUACGGGAGGCAGCAGUGGGGGAUAUUGCACAAUGGGCGAAAGCCUGAUGCAGCGACGCCGCGUGAGGGAAGACGGUUUUCGGAUUGUAAACCUCUGUCGAGGGGGACGAAGGAAGUGACGGUACCCCUUGAGGAAGCCACGGCUAACUACGUGCCAGCAGCCGCGGUAAUA
This 498-nucleotide ribosomal RNA is filed under the name uncultured bacterium. RNAcentral describes it as "bacterial SSU rRNA". It matches the Rfam family "Bacterial small subunit ribosomal RNA", at positions 11 to 525 of the family's 1533-position model. The record is from RNAcentral.